UCGUACAACGGGGGUGCGAGGGCUGUCGCUGACCUUUCAAAAGGUCGUGCACGCCCGAGCGCUCUCACACAUCCAUCUCACCCCUUUGUGCAUCACCGCGUGGGUCCCCCUUUGCAGGAGGGCUCACGUUUUCACACAAAACUUGAUACAGUGUAGAAUGUUAUUUUUGCGGUCACACGCAAUCAAUA
This 188-nucleotide unclassified non-coding RNA is filed under the name uncultured Russula. Its description in RNAcentral is "sequence contains ITS1". The record is from RNAcentral. Lineage: Eukaryota; Fungi; Basidiomycota; Agaricomycetes; Russulales; Russulaceae.